Molecule: ribosomal RNA, 497 nt
Filed under: uncultured bacterium
Lineage: Bacteria
Description: partial 16S ribosomal RNA
Rfam family: Bacterial small subunit ribosomal RNA
Source: RNAcentral
GAUGAACGCUGGCGGCGUGCCUAAUACAUGCAAGUCGAGCGAACAGACGAGGAUCUUGCUCCUCUGACGUUAGCGGCGGACGGGUGAGUAACACGUGAAUAACCUACCUAUAGGACUCAGAUAACUUCGGGAAACCGGAGCUAAUACCGGAUAAUAUAUUGAACCGCAUGGUUCAAUAGGUAAUGGCGGUCUUGCUGUUACUGAUAGAUGGUUCCGCGCCGCCUUAUCUAGUUGUUAAGGUAACGGCUUACCACGGCGACGAUGCGUAGCCGACCUGAGAGGGUGAUCGGCCACACUGGAACUGAGACACGGUCCAGACUCCUACGGGAGGCAGCAGUAGGGAAUCUUCCGAAAUGGGCGAAAGCCUGACGGAGCAACGCCGCGUGAGUGAUGAAGGUCUUCGGAUCGUAAAACUCUGUUAUUAGGGAAGAACAAAUGUGUAAGUAACUAUGCACGUCUUGACGGUACCUAAUCAGAAAGCCACGGCUAACUACGUG